CCUACGGGGGGCAGCAGUGGGGAAUAUUCGACAAUGGGGGGAACCCUGAUCCAGCCAUGCCGCGUGUGUGAAGAAGGCCCUCGGGUUGUAAAGCACUUUCAGUGAGGAAGAACGCCUGGUGGUUAAUACCCAUCAGGAAAGACAUCACUCACAGAAGAAGCACCGGCUAACUCCGUGCCAGCAGCCGCGGUAAUACGGAGGGUGCGAGCGUUAAUCGGAAUUACUGGGCGUAAAGCGCGCGUAGGUGGCUUGAUAAGCCGGUUGUGAAAGCCCCGGGCUCAACCUGGGAACGGCAUCCGGAACUGUCAAGCUAGAGUGCAGGAGAGGAAGGUAGAAUUCCCGGUGUAGCGGUGAAAUGCGUAGAGAUCGGGAGGAAUACCAGUGGCGAAGGCGGCCUUCUGGACUGACACUGACACUGAGGUGCGAAAGCGUGGGUAGCAAACAGGAUUAGAUACCCCUGUAGUC
Molecule: ribosomal RNA, 465 nt
Filed under: Vreelandella stevensii
Lineage: Bacteria; Pseudomonadati; Pseudomonadota; Gammaproteobacteria; Oceanospirillales; Halomonadaceae
Description: partial 16S ribosomal RNA
Rfam family: Bacterial small subunit ribosomal RNA
Source: RNAcentral